Molecule: ribosomal RNA, 829 nt
Filed under: Panellus luminescens
Lineage: Eukaryota; Fungi; Basidiomycota; Agaricomycetes; Agaricales; Mycenaceae
Description: LSU rRNA
Rfam family: Eukaryotic large subunit ribosomal RNA
Source: RNAcentral
AGUGAAGCGGGAAAAGCUCAAAUUUAAAAUCUGGCGGUUAUGCCGUCCGAGUUGUAAUUUAGAGAAGCGUCAUCCGUGCUGGACCGUGUACAAGUCUCCUGGAAUGGAGCGUCAUAGAGGGUGAGAAUCCCGUCUUUGACACGGACUACCAGGACUUUGUGAUGCGCUCUCAAAGAGUCGAGUUGUUUGGGAAUGCAGCUCAAAAUGGGUGGUAAAUUCCAUCUAAAGCUAAAUAUUGGGGAGAGACCGAUAGCGAACAAGUACCGUGAGGGAAAGAUGAAAAGAACUUUGGAAAGAGAGUUAAACAGUACGUGAAAUUGUUGAAAGGGAAACGCUUGAAGUCAGUCGCGCCGUUCAGAACUCAGCCUUGCUUUGCUUGGUGUACUUUCUGUUCGGUGGGUCAGCAUCAAUUUUGGUCAGUGGAUAAAGGCUUAGAGAAUGUGGCACCUUCGGGUGUGUUAUAGCUUUGGGUCGCAUACAUUGACUGGGAUUGAGGAACUCAGCACGCCGCAAGGCCGGGUACUUGUACCACGUACGUGCUUAGGAUGCUGGCAUAAUGGCUUUAAUCGACCCGUCUUGAAACACGGACCAAGGAGUCUAACAUGCCUGCGAGUGUUUGGGUGGAAAACCCGAGCGCGUAAUGAAAGUGAAAGUUGAGAUCCCUGUCGUGGGGAGCAUCGACGCCCGGAGCAGACCUUUUGUGACGCAUCCGCGGUAGAGCAUGUAUGUUGGGACCCGAAAGAUGGUGAACUAUGCCUGAAUAGGGCGAAGCCAGAGGAAACUCUGGUGGAGGCUCGUAGCGAUUCUGACGUGCAAAUCGAUCGUCGAA